GCCGAAAUUACAAGGCAAGAGAAGAAACUCUGUACACAAACAUGCCGAGACUCUUGCUGAGUUUUACUGCCACACAUACCAGGUGCAAACUGAGGCCUGUCUCUACUUGCCUAGAGAGAGAGGACACAGGCAGAGAGAGGGUGAUGUAUAAGAUACGAUUGGCCAGGAAAAACCUUUCGGGGACCAAGAUCACCUUGCAGGAAGCCCCAGAUUUCAGAUCCCUGCGAAAAGUCACAUUGCGAGAAGUUCCUUUCCAAAGACGACAUCCAGGCAGCGCACGACACACCACCCAGGAGGACAGUCGGGUCAGAGCGCAGGAUCACACUGCGGCGCGGGACACCGAACUCACCUGGUCUCUUUAACAAGUCCUCCAAGACUCUGAUGACCAGAUUUGUUACGGAGAAACGGAGGAUGUCAGAAACGGGGGCUGGCAGCCUGUUUGCCUGCAUUAUUCUGCUGUGUGCCUCCAGCAUUGCCCAGACUGCUGAAACCCUGAUGAAACUGGAAGUUCGGGAACUGCUUACAGUGCCAUGUAACCAGGAUAUAGACCUGGAUUGUAACAUCAUCUCAUUCAGAGAGCCUGUUGUCAACAGCAUGAGCUGGCAGCAUCAUGUUGCAAAGCCACGGUGCAUAGUGAAUGACACGAAGCCCGCAGACGGACCCCAGUGCACCUACACGAAGGGCAAGCAACUGGUGCUCCACCUGCAUAGCGUGACUCCAGCCAUGGAGGGCGAGUACACCUGCAAGAUACUGUCCAACCAAGGUAUAAAGUCUGCCACUUCUAUCAUCAAGCUAGAAGAAUGCUACAGCCAGGGGUCAUGGUCAUCAUCUGGCACAGAGCUGACCUGCUGGUUCCCUGGCGUCUACCCUGAAGGGACUAUUCACUGGUUUUCUGAAGGCAGAAAUGUAACGGAGGAUGCAGUGAUGGCAAUCAGCCGGGUGGACAGGAAGGGCCUAUUCAAUGUGUCCAGCACACUUCAUGACGCUCGGUCAGGGGGGCUUUACACAUGCACCCUGUGGAUCCCCAGCACGGGGAGAACCCUGGGAGAGGUCCACAUGGAAAAGAUCCAGGCAGCUGAGAUCUCCUGGAACACACAACUGGCCAGUGGUGGAGGUGUUGGUCUUGGCCAGCAGUUGCCGAGCAUCCUACUGCUGGUCAGCAUCCUGAUGGUGUAAGAGGUGUGAUGAACAAGGCCGUGUCACCUGGCACAGGUUUCAGACUACACCGCCAAAACAUAUCAGAACCGACCCUGCUCUCAUCACUUGACAGCAUUUGUCCCUUUAAUCCACUUAAUUCUUGCGCUGAAUUCAACUGACUGUAUUCCUACAGCUUAACCCUACACUACUGUAUAUUUUUCAGUAUAUAAAAAUAUUUGGACCUUUAUCGUUUUCUUGUCUUUCAUUGAAAUACCUCCAUCACCCCUCUGCAUGCAUUUACACAGCAGCAGGUAUUGAACAAAAACCUGCCAUUUCAUGCUGGUGCUCUUGGACGCAGGACAGGCCAACAGGCCUGCAAGCUGUGCAGUUCACUAAAACGGGGGAACGCAGCCAAGAGCAGAAAAUACAGUUGACACACUGCACCUUUCAUCCUGUCCUCUUAUCCCAG
Long non-coding RNA from Scleropages formosus (Asian bonytongue), 1606 nucleotides. The record is from Ensembl. NCBI's taxonomy places the organism in Eukaryota, Metazoa, Chordata, Actinopteri, Osteoglossiformes, Osteoglossidae.